This 1359-nucleotide ribosomal RNA is filed under the name Euryusa optabilis. RNAcentral describes it as "16S ribosomal RNA". The stretch from base 1056 to 1214 matches the Rfam family "Archaeal large subunit ribosomal RNA", at positions 2542 to 2701 of the family's 2987-position model. Lineage: Eukaryota; Metazoa; Arthropoda; Insecta; Coleoptera; Staphylinidae. The record is from RNAcentral.
GUGGGAAUCAAUUUAAUUUGAAUUUAAUAAAUUAUUUUUUUAAGUUAUUUAAAUAAAAUAUUUUUAAGCUUUAGUAAUUAUUUGUGAAUAAAUUAUAGUAAUAAUAGAAGAUUAGUAUUGUGGAAGAAUUAGGUUUAAUAUGUAAAAGAAUAAUUUAUUUUUAGUACCUUGUGUAUCAGGGUUUAUUAAUUAUAAAUAAAUUAUUUUAUUUUCUCGAUUUAAAUAGAGUUAAUUAUUUAUAAAUUUUACUGUGAAAUAAGUAUUUAUAAUAUAUAGUUAGUAAUGAAACGUUAAUCGUUUUUUAAAAUAUCUAGUUAUUAAAGAAAAAAAUUUAAUUUUAAUUAUAUAAAUUUUAGGUUUAAUUUUUAAAAGGUCAAAAUUUAUAUAAUUAAUAUUAAUAGGGAUUAGCUUAUUAAUAAAUAUUUAAAAAUAAACUAUAAAGUUUUAAAUAUGUAGAAUUAGAAAUUUUCAUCAUAUAAUUUGUUACAAUUAAUUUUAUAUUAAAAAAAAUUUAUAUUAGUUUUAAAUAGUUUAUUUAAUUAUUAAAUUUAAUAGUAUUUAUUUAAGAAAAAAUGAUAAAAUUAGUAUAAAGUUUUGUAAUAUAAUUUUUUAAAAGAAAAAUUAUUAAAAGGAAUUCGGCAAAUAUAUUUUUCGCCUGUUUAAUAAAAACAUGUCUUUUUGUAAAAAAUUUAAAGUCUGGCCUGCCCAAUGAGUAUUUUAAUGGCCGCAGUAUUUUGACUGUGCAAAGGUAGCAUAAUCAUUAGUUUUUUAAUUAAAAGCUGGAAUGAAAGGUUGAACGAAAAAAAAACUGUCUCUUAAUAAUUUAUUUAUAAUUUUAUUUUUAAGUUAAAAAGCUUAAAUUUGUUUAAAAGACGAGAAGACCCUAUAGAGUUUUAUAGUUUUUUUUUUAAUUUUUUAUUUUAAUUUGUAAAAAUUUAAUAGAAUAAUUAUUUAGUUGGGGUGAUUAAAAAAUUUAUUGAACUUUUUUUUUAUGAAAACAUUAAUUUAUGAUUUUUUGAUCCAUAGAUAUGAUUAAAAGAUUAAAUUACCUUAGGGAUAACAGCGUAAUUUCUUUUUAGAGCUCAAAUCGAUAAAGAAGUUUGCGACCUCGAUGUUGGAUUAAAAUUUAUUUUUGGUGUAGAAGCUGAAAUAUUAGGUCUGUUCGACCUUUAAAAUUUUACAUGAUCUGAGUUUAAACCGGUGUGAGCCAGGUUGGUUUCUAUCUUUAAAAAUUUAAAGUAUUUUAGUACGAAAGGACCAAAUAGUAAUAAAAUUUAUUUUUUAUAUUGAAUAAUAUUAAAUAUUAUUUUGGCAGAAUAGUGCAUUAAAUUUAGAAUUUAAUUAUGUAAUUUAUAUUAC